GACGAACGCUGGCGGCGUGCCUAACACAUGCAAGUCGAACGGAGAUACGAUUUCGGUUGUAUCUUAGUGGCGAACGGGUGAGUAACGCGUGAACAACCUGACUCUAAGAGGGGGAUAACACUCGGAAACGGGUGCUAAUACCGCAUAAGACCACGACCCGGCAUCGGGAUGAGGUCAAAGGAGCAAUCCGCUGAGAGAGGGGUUCGCGUCCCAUUAGAUAGAUGGCGGGGUAACGGCCCACCAUGUCAACGAUGGGUAGCCGAGCUGAGAGGCUGAUCGGCCACACUGGAACUGAGACACGGUCCAGACUCCUACGGGAGGCAGCAGUGGGGAAUAUUGGGCAAUGGGCGCAAGCCUGACCCAGCAACGCCGCGUGAGGGAAGAAGGCUUUCGGGUUGUAAACCUCUGUCCUUGGUGACGAAACAAAUGACGGUAGCCAAGGAGGAAGCCCCGGCUAACUACGUG
Molecule: ribosomal RNA, 465 nt
Filed under: uncultured bacterium
Lineage: Bacteria
Description: bacterial SSU rRNA
Rfam family: Bacterial small subunit ribosomal RNA
Source: RNAcentral